RNA transcript from Solanum dulcamara, 3102 nucleotides. It is a transcript of the gene named TOM1-like protein 9, with no coding region annotated. The transcript is spliced from 12 exons. NCBI's taxonomy places the organism in Eukaryota, Viridiplantae, Streptophyta, Magnoliopsida, Solanales, Solanaceae. The record is from RefSeq and is a predicted model, not a curated record.
CCCUUUGGUCUUUUGGAAAUGGAUUAAAAAAAAAAAGGAAGCCCAAUUGAAUUAAAAUGGAGGGACUAAAAUAUUCAUAUUCGUCGAUGAAAAAUUAAGCUAGGAAGAAAAAGAAAAAGGUGCGAUCGCAGAUAAGAGAGAGAAAGAGAGCCGUGUGAUUCUACAAAACUGUUUGAUUCGUAAGUUCAGGGAUUCUCGUGAAGAUUGAAAAUCUCGCCGGCGAAUCUUUCCUUUGAUAUCGCCGGGGAGUUGACCGGUGGUUUUGAUCGGAGAAAGCUGGAGAUUUUCUAUCGGAGGUGAACAGAAGUAAAAAAAUAUAAGGAUGGUGAAUUCAAUGGUGGAAAGAGCAACGAGCGAUAUGCUCAUAGGUCCUGAUUGGGCUAUGAAUCUCGAGAUCUGCGAUAUUUGCAAUCACGAUCCCGCGCAAGCCAAAGAUGUCGUGAAGGGAAUAAAAAGACGUCUUGGUAGUAAGAAUCCCAAAGUCCAACUUCUUGCUCUGACACUGUUGGAAACAAUUGUCAAGAAUUGUGGGGAUAUUGUCCAUAUGCAUGUUGCUGAGAAAGAUCUACUUCAUGAGAUGGUGAAAAUUGUAAAAAAGAAGCAACCUGACUUGCAUGUCAAGGAAAAAGUAUUAAUUUUGAUAGACACGUGGCAAGAAGCAUUUGGAGGACCAAGGGCAAGAUAUCCACAAUUUUAUGGCGCAUACCAGGAGUUGCUGCGCAUUGGAGCUGUAUUCCCUCAGAGAGCUGAGAAAUCAGCCCCCGUGUUCACACCCCCCCAAACACAUCCGCUGGCUUCAUACCCACAGAAUCUCCGGAAUCCUGAAUCCGGUCAGGAAGCGGCUGAGUCUUCUGCAGAGGCUGAAUAUCCAGCCUUGAGCUUGACAGAGAUCCAGAAUGCACGUGGUAUCAUGGAUGUCCUUGCUGAAAUGCUGAGUGCAUUAGAUCCUGAAAACAAAGAGGGGCUGAAACAAGAGGUGAUUGUUGAUUUGGUGGAACAAUGUCGUACCUACAAGCAAAGAGUAGUACACCUUGUAAACUCGACUACGGAUGAAUCACUGCUCUGCCAAGGGCUAGCGCUGAAUGAUGAGUUGCAGCGUGUAUUGGCCAAGCAUGAAGCUAUUGCUUCCGGAACUUCUGUUCAAGUGGAAAAACCAAAAUCUGAACCACCUCAACCUCUUGUAAAUGUUGAUGCUCCACUUAUUGAUACCGGAGACCGCAAACUGUCAGACCAAGGACCUACAUCAAAUGCUAGCCUAGGGACACAGUUGCUUCUUCUUGCUCCUCCAUCAGCUAGCAGUCCAUCAACAACAACAAAAGUUGACCCGAAAAUUGAUCUUCUAAGUGGAGAUGACUUCAGCUCACCUACAACUGAGAAUGUUCUGGCCCUUGUUCCUGUUGGUGGAGAACCGCAGCCUGCAAGUCCUGUUUCACAGCAGAAUGCCCUUGCUCUUGUUGACAUGUUUUCAUCACCCAGCAACUCACAAUCUCCAUAUUCAGCUGGGCAGACUCAUGCUUCGUCCCCUCAAAUUCAACAACAGAGCUUCACUUCUACCCAGCCAACUUUGUACCCAAAUGGAAGUGUGCCUGGAACAACAUAUACACAAGGCUCUAACACGGCCUGGAACGAACAGAUAUCACAGCAACAGCAGUCAGCUUCUCCAGUUUAUGGUGGUCAAAGCAGUUCUUUUCCACCACCUCCAUGGGAAGCUGAGGCAGCAGAGAACGGCCAAAUAGUGGGGAAUCCUCAUGCUCAACUGAUGCAAAAUAAUCAGUUGUUGCCAGGUAGUCCACAUGCUCUACCAAUGCACAACAAUCAGCUAAUGUCUGGUAGUCCAAAUGCUUUAUCAAUGCAAAAUAAUCAGCUGAUGGCAGCUAACAGCCAGCAAUUGGCUGGUGGUUCACAUGUCCAUGGUAUGUAUGCACAACCGAUCACUGGUGGACAGCCUGCCAUGAUGAACCAGGCUAUGCAAAACAAUCAGAUGGUAGGGUUGCUUCCUCAACCAAUCCAAGGUGGUCAAUCAAUGGGUAUGUUUCCACAACAAAUGCCACCUGGGCACAUGGCUUAUAUGUAUGCCCAACAACAAAUGUAUGGCAACCAAAUGGCUGGUUAUGGCUAUGGUUAUGCCCAACCACAUAACACACAAUUUCUUAAUCAGAGAAUGUCUGGGCUCUCCGUGAGGGAUGAUGGUGUCCUAAAUAAUUCAUCCUAUCCAGUUUCAACUCCUUCGUACAUACCAUCUGGAAAACCCUCAAAGCCGGAGGAUAAACUAUUUGGAGACCUUGUUGACAUUUCAAAGUUCAAAUCAUCCAAAACUACUCCUGGCAGAGCUGGGAGCAUGUGACAGUGACUGCUUGGUGCUGUUAUAACUGGUCAUGCAGUUAUUUGUGCUUUUACCUAGAAGUUUUUACAAGCGAUGUGAACUCCUACACUGGUAAGAGCUUUGUGGCUCACUAGGGAAAUAUUACACCAAUGCCUCACCUGAAGGAAUUGAAAUUGUAAGAUAAUUCAUUGUUUGCUGAGCUACAACGGGUAAAGUUAGGUUUUACAUUGUCUUCGCUGUUUUAUGUUUUGGUAUUUGUUUCUUUAUACUCGAUUCCUUUGCUUUGAAUGGAAGAUGAAGAUAUUAUACUGCAGUGUGUAAACUGGUUGGUUGACUCUUCAUCCUUCUGAAGUGAGAUAUCACCAGGACUGUAGUAUAACUCAUUUGUGGAAAAUAUGCCGGCAUGAUGUGGAGGAUGAAGAUGAUAGUGGUUUGGAGCUGCAAAGAUGUUCCCCGGAUUUUACCAUGCUGGCGGAUGUUUUCUUCUCCCAAUUGACUAUUCAUAGACGUUCUACUGGGGAAUUUGUGAGUAGACUCAGACUGCAAUUUCCCUGUGUCAUAUAUCUAAUUAAUCUCCUUAAAAUGAAAGAAAAAUACAAAGUAGGUCUUUAUACAUAUUUUUAUAUUAAUGUUGACAAUAUUACUUUUAUUUAUGGGGAAAAAUGAAUAGGAGUAAUCCGUUAUUGAAAAUUAAAAAGAAAACUGAAUACAUACAUGUAUAUAAACCGACUGUGUAGUCAAUUUAUGUACUAACAAAAGCAUUGAACAUUUCAUAUUAA